GGAAGUGGAUCGUGCGGAGCAAGCAUCACACCAUGGCGUAUGAGUGUUCCUCUGUGUAGACUCAACCUGCGCCUCGCCGUCCCCCAUUCGCACACCCGAUGCCCGGGGGUCGCUACGGACUUAAAAUCUCCGCACCGCACCCUCCACCUCAGAAACGUUCCUGGAUCCGAACACUGCCCCCUGACGACCUAGAGAGAUCCCGGCUCCCAGCCCACUGAGUGGCUUCAGCCUCGCUGGCACCUCCCAACUCCUGGCCUCUCUGCACGAGGCGCCUGCCCCGGGCCCCGCCUACAGGGGACCCAGCUCUUCUUGCAGCCACUGGAAGCUGAUCACCUGGAGUGAAGACCUCACACGAAGAAGUCUGGAAGAAGAGGAAGAGGAAAGAAAAGGAGUCAGGGAUGGCCCUUACUCAGAUUCCAUCUCCCGUGAUCCAGUGACAUGAACUUGGGAAGAGGCUGCACUGGGCAUGGUCCUGGGAAGGGCUCACACCCAGACAUGGAUGGAGACGGGGUGAGGGUCCUGUGGUGUCAGUGCUGUUGGGCAGCAGGGAUUGCUCAGGGGCCGCAUCUGGAUGCACUGUCAG
RNAcentral lists this long non-coding RNA (583 nucleotides) under Homo sapiens (human). RNAcentral's name for it is "non-protein coding lnc-ZNF415-4:3". The record is from RNAcentral. Lineage: Eukaryota; Metazoa; Chordata; Mammalia; Primates; Hominidae.